CUUCUUUUUUAGUUUGAACAUUCCCAGUUACUUUAAUCCUUUCUUGUAUAUUUGUCAUUUAAGCUCAGAUCAUUCUUGAUCCUCUUCUCUGAAUUGAUUCCAAUUAGUUCAUAUGUUUGACUGGAUUUGAAGGGCAGUAUUCAAAAUUGGAUAGAGUACUCCAGCUGCAUUCUAAACAGUAGUAUAGUAAUACAGAAAGAU
This is a long non-coding RNA of Corapipo altera (White-ruffed manakin), 201 nucleotides long. RefSeq lists it as uncharacterized. The record is from RefSeq and is a predicted model, not a curated record. NCBI's taxonomy places the organism in Eukaryota, Metazoa, Chordata, Aves, Passeriformes, Pipridae. The transcript has 3 exons.